GCGGCGUCCUCGGCCACGCCUGCGACUCCUGCGCCAAUGCUUACGCCGAGGUGGCGCCUAACACUGGCUGCGAGGUGGUAUACGAUGGCUGCCCGCGUUCAUUCUCACAUGGUGUCUGGUGGCCGAGAACUAAGUUCGGUAUCGAAGCUGCAACAGAUUGUCCUUCAGGAACAAGCGGCCGGGCUACUCGGAUGUGCGAUGAUACCCAAGUGAUUCCCUGGCAAGAACCGGACAUGUUCAAUUGUACCACUUCCACUUUCUACCAACUGAGGAACCAGGUAAAC
Ostrinia nubilalis (European corn borer) is the source of this 284-nucleotide long non-coding RNA. RefSeq lists it as uncharacterized. The transcript has 3 exons. The record is from RefSeq and is a predicted model, not a curated record. NCBI's taxonomy places the organism in Eukaryota, Metazoa, Arthropoda, Insecta, Lepidoptera, Crambidae.